Long non-coding RNA from Ceratina calcarata, 2725 nucleotides. RefSeq lists it as uncharacterized. The transcript is spliced from 3 exons. The record is from RefSeq and is a predicted model, not a curated record. NCBI's taxonomy places the organism in Eukaryota, Metazoa, Arthropoda, Insecta, Hymenoptera, Apidae.
CCGUUGCUCCAUUCCUCUUCUUUCAUGGUCAAAACAUCCUGACUGAGACCCUGCAAAGCCACAUUGAAAACAUAAUUCCUGAUUACUCGUUAAUUAUUUUCCAAUACGACAAAAUGAAAUGAUGAAUGCAAUUGUGAGGAUCUUCAGAAGUAAACUACUGGCUUCAAAUUGUGCAAUUAUUAAUUAUUUGUUUCAAAUUGUACAGCCAUUAGUCAUUAGCCUUUAUUGUCCAUGUAUUGAGAAAUAUAAAUAAAAUUUGUAUUCAAUAACAUAGGUGAUUCAUCGGGACAAAGUGCAGGAUAUUCUCGGAACAAACGACUGAAUAAUUCUGAUUAGAUUACUACGACAUAAUAGGUGCUCAAUUUAGCGCAGUUCGAUCCUGAUCCAAGGAUAAUAGAUGUAAUUGGUCAGAACAUUUUUAAACUUGGCCCGAAUUAAAUCAGCCUUUGGAAAAUAGGUCAGAUUCUCUAAAGUAAUCCUAAAAACGUCAUCUCAAUCAGAGAAUUAUGCAACCAUCGAGCAUGCAAUUUUGUCAGCUUGGACGUCAUUAAUUAAUAUUUAAAUGUUAGGACGAAUGUAGGCUAAUACUUCUACAGAUCAGAAACACUUGACUCUCUAGUCAAAUUAGAAAGGUCUCUCAUCUCUCGCGCUCUCUCUUGUGGUUGAAAUGUACACACGCAUACGGAGCAGAGAGACGCAAAUCAAUGGACUGGGGAUCAACGUUCGAGGUUGUCAAUGGCUCUGCCAGUUGUCUCUUGCCGGAGGUGUCAAGGACCCCACGAGUGAUUCUAAAAUUGUGCUCGACGGUGCUCAAAGAGAAGGGCGCGUGUCGAGAGCCGGUCAAGUUGAAGGCUGAGUCUCCUCGCCCUUCUUACGAGCUCGUCGAGACCAACGAUUCUUCGGCCCUUCUGUCGAGGCCCUUCGGUAACACGGAACUGAGAGUCAAGGUCAACGAGGGAGCUCAUUUCUUUUAUUCGUAUUCACUUUUGUCGAAGGAACAUUCUUUCGUUGGUACGAAUCUUCAGGUUGUUCAGAUUACAUUAUAGUUCGAACAACCUUAAGGUUUCUUACGAGGAGUUUUACUUAGAGGUUUGAUGAAACUGGAUAAGAUUCUUGAUUCUUCAUUAGGAAAUAGCAUGAUUGAGCAACGAGAAAGUUAGAAGCAAGGUUGCAACUCAAGGUUCGAUCAGGUUCUCUUAGUUAAGAUUUCUUAAACGUUGCCUAUAACUUCUUUCACGGAGACUACACUCGAACCUACUUUGUAAAUUAUUUCCAUGUAUAAGGUAAAUCGUAAUAGGAAUCGAAAACAAUUGUUCCAGACUAAUAGUGGUUUCACAUGAAAUUCAAUAACCCCUGGCUGCGCGCUGAACUUCUAUUAUUAAGACCGGUUGCGAAAGUCUGGAUACUUUUUGAGCAGAUACCGUUACACGCGAUUGCGUUACACGGGCUGCAAGUGGAAAGAUAUUCUCAGCCUCCAUUCGAAAGUCGAUACAAUGAACUAUUAUUUCAGGUGACUAACCCCGUUCACGGUGUUUUAAAAUCAGAUGCACCGUCCCGUCUAUUCGUUUCCUCCACGACUCCGGGGACACCCGGUAUAUACGGUAAACAGAAAUAUCCGUUUAAAAGGCGAUUUAACCGGCAGAACCUGUUCGACCGAACAGCACUCGAACAAUCGUGACCACGGUGUAAGUAAUUCUAUUCAAGCUCCUUCUUCCGUGGCUUCAUCAGCUAUUUUAGUCUCGUCGCGGGUUUUCUCCGGGCUCUCGUUAUGGGUCGUUUCCCUGACGGACGUGAACAAAGCCAGAACCGAGGCAAUUAUUCCGUCCUAGAUAAUUAGCGACCAACAACCUGGGACCAAAUAUCGCGACACGUUUAAAAACUGAUAAGCAAAAAGAGUUUGCCCCAUAGAAAGUUGCCGUCUGAGAAUGGAGAAUCGUACGAUUUAUGUUCUCCCUCAAAAGUACAGUGAAAUAUUUAAAGCGACUGAACGGGUCGCUGGUAGCGGACUGACACGAGCCGCGAUUGGAUUCGCGGUAUCUGUUGCGCGCCUCAGCAAUGCGGAACUCCGGUACCAAGGUCGCGACAUCACUCUUCCUUUUCUCCCUCAAUCGACCGUUUCUCUCUCUCUCUCUCUCUCUCUCUCUCUCUCUCUCUCUCUCUCUCUCUCUCUCAUUGGCCUUUCUCCUCUCCUUUUCCCGUAUCGUCCGCUUUUCCGUUAUGCUCCGCUCGCUGCCAUUUAUCUCGUCCCCAGUUUCACCUCCGCCGGAAGCUGCACCGAAUAUUUUACUUUGAACCCUCCACGAGAUAAGGGUUUCCUCUCGUCUACAUACCUUAUCUAUUGUUUUCCCAGACGAGACGGGAUGAUAUCGUUCAAAGAAAGUAGGAUACUUCCUUAGUAAUGAAUAGACUGUGGAUUUUAUGCAUUUAUAAGAAAGCUGAAUGUGCAAACAGUGUGAACGUUGCAUGCAACUGAAUCAAGAUACUUAAAUGAUAAUAGAAUUACUUCAUUUAAUAAUAAAUUCUUUGGUUACAAUUGACAAAAGUUACAAAGGUACAAAAUGUAAAAUAGGAGAAAUAAGAAGACGAAGGAAAUGGAGAAAGAAUGGAGUGCAGAAGUUAUGGAGGGAUGAGAGCAAAAUGUAAACCAACUCCAUUUCUGGGCCAAUAGACUGAAAUAAAACUAUAUGUGUAUAUAAUAAUAAAUUGCAACACAUUGUUCACAUUA